Small nucleolar RNA from Tachyglossus aculeatus (Australian echidna), 138 nucleotides. The record is from RefSeq and is a predicted model, not a curated record. Lineage: Eukaryota; Metazoa; Chordata; Mammalia; Monotremata; Tachyglossidae.
CCCCUCUCAGGGUCGCACCUGGAGAGUUUACAGUACUCUACCAGUCUUGGCUAUGGGAGGGAGAGUCAAACAGAGACGUGUCUAUUCCAUUCCUAGCUUGGCCAGUGUCUAGCAAGUGGAAGGCAAUCUGCUACAAGU